Triticum aestivum (bread wheat) is the source of this 3553-nucleotide RNA transcript. RefSeq lists it as uncharacterized. The transcript has a single exon. The record is from RefSeq and is a predicted model, not a curated record. Lineage: Eukaryota; Viridiplantae; Streptophyta; Magnoliopsida; Poales; Poaceae.
GUCCACGUUUUUCUCCAUGGGAUAUUAUUGGUGGGUUGGAAUAUUAUCUUGUCCACUUCCCCCCUUCCUGUGCAGUGGCACUGUGGAACUCUCAGAGACCAAGACCAGCGCCGCGUAGUUCACCUCAAUCUUGCAAACCCACAUACGCUACAAUCUUUAGCGAGGAGCUAGAGAUUUUUCAAGGAAUCUCAGAGCUAUGGAGGAUUCCAGAGAGCAGAAUGGCAAUGCCCAUGCCCUUGCAGCUGCCGGCAACACUCCCGACGAGCCGCAGCAAGAGGGCGCCGACGAGGCCGAGCCGGGGCAGCUGCAGCAAGACGGCGCCGACGAGGCCGAGCUUCUGUUGAAGCUGAGGAAGUACCUGGUGCUGAUGGCCAUCCUCGUGGCGGCCAUCACGUUCCAGGCGGGGCUGGCCCCGCCGGGCGGCUUCUGGCAGGACAGCAAGAAGGGCCGCGUCGCCAGCGACAUCGUGAUGAGGUCCAGCUACCCCAGGCGGUACCUUGUCUUCUUCUACUUCAACACCACGGCGUUCGGGGCCUCGCUCAUGGUGCUCAUACUGCUCCUGAUGAGGGAGCUGACCCAUAAGGCGGUCUGGCUCCGCACGCUCCAGUUCGCCAUGAUUCUUGGCUUGCUGGGGCUCAUGGGGGCCUACGCCGCUGGGAGCUGCAGGGAGGUGAGGACCUCUGUUUACAUCUGGGUGUUACUCCUUGGCAUCUUCGCCUAUGUCACACUCCAUGUGGUAUUCUUCAAGCACUUGGCACCUCAAUGUCUGCGAGAUAUGUUCUGGGGUAUUCGUGCAUAUUGGAAGAAUACUCUUGGGCACAUAAUGACACCAGGAUCAGGGAAGACAGCAGAUGAGCAAGGUCCAGCAGGUCAGUUGGAAGAGAGGAUAACAGAUGGCGAAGAGGCCUCAAAUGCAGAGAGGAUAGCAGAUGGCCAAGAGGCCUCAAAUGCAGAGAGGAUAACAGAUGGCCAAGAGGCUUCAAGUCCAGAGAGGAUAACAGAUGGCCAAGUGGCUUCAAAUGCAGAGAGAAUAACAGAUGAGGCUUCAAAGAAGAGAGAAGAAAAGGAAGAUCUUGAAAGAAAUCGCAGCUCCUUGCUGGUUCUUGCCACAUUGGUAGCAACAGUGACAUAUGUGGCAGGGUUAACCCCUCCAGGUGGCUUCUGGUCUGAUGAUAACAGGAACCACAUUCCUGGUGAUCCGGUGCUGCGAGACCACUAUCCACGCCGAUACAAGGCCUUCUUCUAUUGCAAUGCCACUGCUUUUGCUGGAUCGCUUGUCAUCAUCAUCAUGGUCCUCAGUCAAACAGCGGUGGAUCAUGUUGUCAAGUCAAAUGCUCUGCGGUUGUGUGUGGUAGUCAGUCUCUUUGGGCUUAUGGGGGGAUAUGCUGCUGGAAGUUGCAGGGAGGUACAUACAUCGAUCUAUGUCUUUGCACUUGUUGGUGCAGUAUUGCUCUACCUCAUCAUUCAGUGUAUUGAACCUGCUCUGCCUAAGUCAGCAUAUGUUGAGGGUACCAUCACACGUGUGAAAAAUAAAAAUAAAGAAAUGGUUGAGAAGCUGAGGACUUUCAUCACUGACUUGUUAGAACCACCUAGCAUACCAGUACAAGUUCAGCCAGAAAACAGCACUCGAGGCACUAAUUUCCAGAAGUUGCGCACAUACCUUCUAUUGCUUGGCAUCCUUGCCGCCACAGUUACCUUCCAAGCUGGGCUGAAUCCACCAGGAGGCUUUUGGACAGAUACCAGUGAUGGGCAUAUUGCUGGUGAUCCAAUUUUGGAGGCCAUCAGUCCGAAGCGCUACAAGGCAUUCUUCUAUUGCAAUGCCACAGCAUUUGUAGCCUCUUUGGCCAUCAUCAUCCUACUCCAGAGCCAGUUGAUUACCAUUCAUGCCAUGAAGCGUCAUGUACUGCAAACAGCAAUGACACUGGUGCUCUUUGGUCUUAUGGGAGCCUACGUCGCUGGAAGCAGCAGGAAGUUCUCAACAUCCAUAUAUGUGUUCGUCCUAGUCCUCCUAGUGUUCGCCUAUGUUGUACUUCAUAUUCUAUAUGAGAGGACACUAGGGAAUACUGGGAGCACAGCAGGGAAUGCUGAGAGCACAGCAAGGAAUACUGAGAGCACAGCAGGGAAUUCUGAGAGCACAGCAGGGAAUACUGAGAUCACAGAAGGGAAUACUGAGAGCACAGCAGGGAACACUGAGAGCACAUCAGGGAAUACUGGGGCUUCCAUGGCAGGAACCUCCCAAAAUCCUGGUUCUUCUGAACCUACUCCUGAAGAAAAAAAAGAUUUGCAGAAGAGGCGAAAGUUUCUGAUGUUGCUCGCAAUUCUAGCAGCUUCUAUCACAUACCAAACUGGUAUAAGCCCACCAGGUGGCUUUUGGACUGACAACAGUAACGGACACCGAGCAGGUUACCCAGUGUUUCGUGACGAGUUCCGAAACCACUAUAGGGUGUUCUUCUACUUCAAUGCUACUGCAUUCAUGGCAUCCCUGGCAGUAAUUCUGUUGCUUGUUAGCGAGAGGCUAUGCAAGAAAGGUCUGGAGUGCUAUGCGCUACGUGCAUGUGUACUGGUUGAUCUGAUCAGCCUCAUGGGUGCUUUUGCUACUGGAAACUGCAGAAAAGUGUCAACAUCUGGCUAUGUCAUUCUUGUUGUUCUUGCAGUGUUUGUCUAUGUCAUGAUUCAAGUCCUGGUUCUGACACCAAAAGAUAAGUGGAAUGAGUUGCUGCGGCCUUCUAAGCACCAAAAUCCAUCAAUGAAUCACACGAGAAGUAUACAUGAUACUGAUAGUAAGAGAACAGAGCACAAAUGGCGCAAAGAUUUGAUGCUGAUUGGAACUCUUGCAGUCACUGUCACAUACCAAGCCGGUCUGCUUCCGCCAGGAGGGGUUUGGCCUGAUGACCGGGAUGGCCAUUUUGCAGGUGACCCAAUCCUCCAUGAUACCAACCUAACACGGUACAAGGUAUUCUUCUAUUGCAACGCCACAGCAUUCAUGGCCUCAAUGGUCAUGGUCAUCCUCCUACUGAACAACACAAUAAGCAAGUACAAGAGAUCUCUCUUUGCCAUGAAAAUAGCAAUGGUCUUGGACUUGCUUGGUUUACUUGGGGCAUAUGCCGCGGGCAGCUGCAGGAAGUUGAAGACAUCUGCAUACAUUUUUGCACUCGUCAUUGCCGUGAUCAUCUACAUCGUCAUUCAUGUCGUGUUGUCAUUUGACGAAGUGGCAAGGUUAGUGAAGGAGAAGUGGAAAAAGUGGGUGCGAUGUCUGGAAAGGUGCUUCUGUUGCAACUGAUUCAAGCAAUCAACAAUCUGACGGGGAACCAGGAAAAAGUCCUCUGCCUGUGUAAGAGUAGUCUCAGUUGUGACAUUUGUUCAGUCUAUCAUGAGAUAGACACAACCUCCAAAGUUGCAAUUUGUGUUUUAUUCUUGCUCAAGGCCAUCAUGUAGUUUUAUUUGGUGCAUUCUUUGAAUGUGAGCAAAAGAUAAUACAGAUGACAACUGUGAGAUGUGAAAUGGUUCUUUUUUCUUAGUUAACAAUAUGUGGAAUUACCUUCUGAAGUAAAAA